AUCAAUGGCCAUAUCAGCUUGAAUAUACCCAAUCUUGUCUGAUCUUGGAAGUUAAGCAGGGUCAGGUCUGGUUAGUACUUGGAUGGGAGACCUGGGAAUAUCAGAUACUAUAGACU
Molecule: ribosomal RNA, 116 nt
Filed under: Neotoma lepida (desert woodrat)
Lineage: Eukaryota; Metazoa; Chordata; Mammalia; Rodentia; Cricetidae
Source: RNAcentral